RNAcentral lists this transfer RNA (75 nucleotides) under Oceanospirillaceae bacterium. Its description in RNAcentral is "tRNA-Gly". It matches the Rfam family "tRNA". From Rfam's summary of the family: Transfer RNA (tRNA) molecules are approximately 80 nucleotides in length. Their secondary structure includes four short double-helical elements and three loops (D, anti-codon, and T loops). Lineage: Bacteria; Pseudomonadati; Pseudomonadota; Gammaproteobacteria; Oceanospirillales; Oceanospirillaceae. The record is from RNAcentral. RNAcentral also lists the same sequence under 1 other name.
GCGGGUAUCGUAUAGUGGUUAUUACUCAAGCUUCCCAAGCUUGCGAGGCGGGUUCGAUUCCCGCUACCCGCUCCA